This 486-nucleotide ribosomal RNA is filed under the name uncultured bacterium. RNAcentral describes it as "partial 16S ribosomal RNA". It matches the Rfam family "Bacterial small subunit ribosomal RNA", at positions 29 to 507 of the family's 1533-position model. The record is from RNAcentral.
AUUGAACGCUGGCGGCAUGCCUUACACAUGCAAGUCGAACGGCAGCACGGGGGGUAACCCCUGGUGGCGAGUAGCGAACGGGUGAGUAAUAUAUCGGAACGUGUCCUGUAGCGGGGGAUAACCUAUCGAAAGAUGGACUAAUACCGCAUACGACCUACGGGUGAAAGCGGAGGACCGCAAGGCUUCGCACUAUAGGAGCGGCCGAUAUCGGAUUAGCUAGUUGGCGGGGUAACGGCCCACCAAGGCGACGAUCCGUAGCUGGUCUGAGAGGACGAUCAGCCACACUGGAACUGAGACACGGUCCAGACUCCUACGGGAGGCAGCAGUGGGGAAUUUUGGACAAUGGGCGCAAGCCUGAUCCAGCCAUGCCGCGUGAGUGAAGAAGGCCUUCGGGUUGUAAAGCUCUUUCGGCGGGGACGAAACGGUUCGUGCUAAUACCACGGACUACUGACGGUACCCGCAGAAGAAGCACCGGCUAACUACGUG